This 442-nucleotide RNase P RNA is filed under the name Ruminococcus flavefaciens. RNAcentral's name for it is "Bacterial RNase P class A". It matches the Rfam family "Bacterial RNase P class A". Rfam says of the family: Ribonuclease P (RNase P) is a ubiquitous endoribonuclease, found in archaea, bacteria and eukarya as well as chloroplasts and mitochondria. Lineage: Bacteria; Bacillati; Bacillota; Clostridia; Eubacteriales; Oscillospiraceae. The record is from RNAcentral.
GACUACGCGGCAGCGGAAACGUUUUAGUUUAUGAGGAAAGUCCGGGCAUCACAGAGCAGGGUAGCUGAUAACGUCAGCCGAGGGCGACCUUGCAAGAUGUCCAAUAGAUUUCGAGAUAAAAUACUGUUUUUCAAGGCGGACGACGCAGGCGUGCUUUCGCACGGCAAGAAGGAGAACGCAGAAAAACGGAAUUUUAGCCGAAAGAUGUGGAUAGCUUGCAGCAGGGUCAAGUAUAGCGGUAAGGGUGGAAAGGCGAGGCAAGAGCUCACCGGAGUGUGGGAGACCGCACUGCCAUGUAAACCCUACCCGAUGCAACGUCUAUUGGUACUGCGUAUCUCAACGUCGGCUCGGCGGAUACGGAGUAAUGACGGCUUGAGCUCAUCGGCGACGAUGAGCGUAGAUAAAUUGCCGCGCACGACAGAACCCGGCUUAUCGGUCUGGU